GCCUCUGUGGCGCAGUGGUUUGAGCCUUGGACUAUGACUCUGGAGUUCAGGGUUCGAUUUUCUGCUCAGCCC
Molecule: non-coding RNA, 72 nt
Organism: Phrynosoma platyrhinos (Desert horned lizard)
Lineage: Eukaryota; Metazoa; Chordata; Lepidosauria; Squamata; Phrynosomatidae
Source: the annotation of a GenBank genome assembly